UGGUUUCAAAAAGGUUAGUGCAUAUUAACUUCCUAAUCUUGUUUACUUAUUGAAAUUUAGUUUGAAUAUGAAUAAAUAAUUAGGAAAUUGAAGAAAAUCAUGUGUGAAAUUGAGAAGCAAAUUUUGGCCAGCACUUAUAGGAUGAGGAAUUGAUGAGUUUUAUUGGGCUAAAACCUAAAUACAAGCUUAGAUAGUGACAUAUGAAUGAUUGAUGACCUUAAUUGGGAUGUGUUGCAUGAUUCAUGGAUUGGAAGCUAGGGUUUUGAGAAGUGAAAUUUGGAUUUAGCUUAUGAAACUGUGAAAGAACAUUAUAAGGGUCA
RNAcentral lists this unclassified non-coding RNA (320 nucleotides) under Hevea brasiliensis (rubber tree). Lineage: Eukaryota; Viridiplantae; Streptophyta; Magnoliopsida; Malpighiales; Euphorbiaceae. The record is from RNAcentral.